AGUGAACGCUGGCGGUAGGCCUAACACAUGCAAGUCGAGCGGCAGCACAGUAAGAGCUUGCUCUUACUGGUGGCGAGUGGCGGACGGGUGAGGAAUACAUCGGAAUCUACUUUUUCGUGGGGGAUAACGUAGGGAAACUUACGCUAAUACCGCAUACGACCUACGGGUGAAAGCAGGGGAUCUUCGGACCUUGCGCGAUUGAAUGAGCCGAUGUCGGAUUAGCUAGUUGGCGGGGUAAAGGCCCACCAAGGCGACGAUCCGUAGCUGGUCUGAGAGGAUGAUCAGCCACACUGGAACUGAGACACGGUCCAGACUCCUACGGGAGGCAGCAGUGGGGAAUAUUGGACAAUGGGCGCAAGCCUGAUCCAGCCAUACCGCGUGGGUGAAGAAGGCCUUCGGGUUGUAAAGCCCUUUUGUUGGGAAAGAAAAGCAGCAGGUUAAUACCCCGCUGUUCUGACGGUACCCAAAGAAUAAGCACCGGCUAACUUCGUG
RNAcentral lists this ribosomal RNA (492 nucleotides) under uncultured bacterium. RNAcentral describes it as "partial 16S ribosomal RNA". It matches the Rfam family "Bacterial small subunit ribosomal RNA", at positions 29 to 507 of the family's 1533-position model. The record is from RNAcentral.